UACUAGUCAGUCUUUCCAUGCAUGAAAAAAUAAAGCUCACAUCCCUUGUUUACGCAGUGCUGAGAUGCUUGCCAGUUUGAACAUCCCCUGGGUUAUUCUCGGCCACUCUGAAAGAAGGGCUUUGCUAAAUGAAUCAAAUGAGUUUGUCGGAGAGAAAGUUGCAUACGCACUUUCUCAAGGGUUGAAGGUGAUUGCUUGUGUCGGUGAGACUCUUGAACAACGAGAGGCGGGGCACACUAUGACUGUUGUGGCUG
Papaver somniferum (opium poppy) is the source of this 254-nucleotide long non-coding RNA. RefSeq lists it as uncharacterized. NCBI's taxonomy places the organism in Eukaryota, Viridiplantae, Streptophyta, Magnoliopsida, Ranunculales, Papaveraceae. The transcript is spliced from 2 exons. The record is from RefSeq and is a predicted model, not a curated record.